Molecule: unclassified non-coding RNA, 378 nt
Filed under: uncultured Chloroflexota bacterium
Lineage: Bacteria; Bacillati; Chloroflexota
Description: uncultured Chloroflexi bacterium contains 16S-23S intergenic spacer region
Source: RNAcentral
UCGCGGCUUAUCACCGGCAGUCUCCUUAGAGUGCUCAACUAAAUGGUAGCAACUAAGGACGGGGGUUGCGCUCGUUGCGGGACUUAACCCAACAUCUCACGACACGAGCUGACGACAGCCAUGCAGCACCUGUGUUCCAGGCUCCGAAGGGAAGGCCCCAUCUCUGAGGCGGUCCGCCGUUGUCUAGCCCAGGUAAGGUUCUUCGCGUUGCCUCGAAUUAAACCACACGCUCCGCUGCUUGUGCGGGCCCCCGCCUAUUCCUUUGAGUUUUAACCUUGCGGCCGUAGUCCCCAGGCGGUGAACUUAAUGCGUUAGCUGCGGCACUGAUCGGGUCAAUCCGACCAACACCUAGUUCACAACGUUUAGGGCGUGGACUAC